Sorex araneus (European shrew) is the source of this 134-nucleotide small nuclear RNA. Lineage: Eukaryota; Metazoa; Chordata; Mammalia; Eulipotyphla; Soricidae. The record is from Ensembl.
AAGAAGGGCUUCUGCUGUGAGCAGCACACGGAGGGCAGUUUGCUUGCCCUACUUGCGGGAUUGACAUAAGAGAUUUUGGAAGCAUCAUUUUUGGCAGUAGGACAGCUGGUGAUCACUGGGCCUGGCCCGCCCCG